RNAcentral lists this ribosomal RNA (549 nucleotides) under uncultured bacterium. RNAcentral describes it as "bacterial SSU rRNA". It matches the Rfam family "Bacterial small subunit ribosomal RNA", at positions 355 to 895 of the family's 1533-position model. The record is from RNAcentral.
UAGGGAAUCUUCGGCAAUGGACGGAAGUCUGACCGAGCAACGCCGCGUGAGUGAAGAAGGUUUUCGGAUCGUAAAGCUCUGUUGUAAGAGAAGAACGAGUGUGGGAGUGGAAAGUUCACACUGUGACGGUAUCUUACCAGAAAGGGACGGCUAACUACGUGCCAGCAGCCGCGGUAAUACGUAGGUCCCGAGCGUUGUCCGGAUUUAUUGGGCGUAAAGCGAGCGCAGGCGGUUAGAUAAGUCUGAAGUUAAAGGCUGUGGCUUAACCAUAGUAGGCUUUGGAAACUGUUUAACUUGAGUGCAAGAGGGGAGAGUGGAAUUCCAUGUGUAGCGGUGAAAUGCGUAGAUAUAUGGAGGAACACCGGUGGCGAAAGCGGCUCUCUGGCUUGUAACUGACGCUGAGGCUCGAAAGCGUGGGGAGCAAACAGGAUUAGAUACCCUGGUAGUCCACGCUGUAAACGAUGAGUGCUAGGUGUUAGACCCUUUCCGGGGUUUAGUGCCGUAGCUAACGCAUUAAGCACUCCGCCUGGGGAGUACGACCGCAAGGUU